AAGCCACCUAGAGGAUGACUAGGCUAUAACCGCGAUGAAGGCCGUGGCAAGCUGCGAUAAGCCUGGGGUAGUCGCAAGUCGGACGCUGAACCCAGGAUUGCCGAAUUGCGCCCAAAAGGCGCGCAUACGCCGGGAACUGAAAUAUCUUAGUACCGGCAGGAGAAGAAAGAAUAUUCGAUGCGGCGAGUAAUACGAAUGAAAGCCGCAGAGGGCGAACCGAAUCCUGCCUUGCAAAAGGUGUGGAGAUGUGGUGCAGCGGUAUUCAUCCAUCUCAUGAGCCGAACGCUCUGGAAAGAGCGGCUACAGAGGGUGACAGCCCCGUAGGCGGAAUGAGGUGGAGAUAGCUGCAAAGAGUAACGCUCCCUGAGUACGGAGCGUGAAUACGGGAGCAUUAAAUCCCAACCCUAAAUAUUGGUUAUAGACCGAUAGAGAACAAGUAGCGCGAGCGAAAGUUAAAAAGAACGCACACGAGUGCGAUUGAAAAGAUCUGAAACUAGGUGGUUACAUGCAGGUAAGGCGCGAAAGGAAUGAAGUGCCCUGAAGCUUCCGCUCGAGAGUGCGGUGCGAGGGGCAUGGAGCAGCGUCUUAUCAUUCUUCUUGAAGCAAGAGCCAGGGAGUGUAUAGGAGUGGCGAGCCGAAAGGCGCAGCGAAAGCGAGGGCGCGCAGCACCGCAAGGUGUGAGGCGCAGGGUGUGAAAACGCCUGAGUCACUCUUAUACGACCCGAAGCCAUUGUGAUCUACUCGUGGCCAGGACGAAGCUAGGCUAACGCCUGGUGGAGGUCCGCAUCCUGUCAUGGCAUGUCCUGUUGGGUGAGCUACGGGUAGCGGCGAUAUACCUGUCGAACAUGGCAAUAUCGGGUCCCCUCUGAAGUAUCUUUAGGAUAGCCUCGGGCGAGCUUGCAUAUGCGGUAGAGCAACCGAUUAUUGGGCACGGGAUCGGAAGGUCCUUCCCAAUCGUCAAACUCCGAAUGCAUAUGCUGCGUAGACCCCGGGAGUCGGCGGGAUUGGGUAAGCUAGUUCCGCGAGACUGCAAAGACAGAGACUGGGGCUAAGGUCCCCAAAUCCUAGUUAAGUGUAUCAAAGGAGGUGUUUGCCUUAGACAGCUGGGAGGUAGGCUCAGAAGCGGCCACCCUUUAAAAAACGCGUAAUAGCGUACCAGUUGAGGCAUUCAUUGCCGAAGAUAUACGGGGCUAAACUAGGUACCGAGACCCCAGCGUGCGAAAGCACGGGUAAGAGGGCGUGCGGUAUGGCAAGAAGUGUGUCCGAAAGGACGCAUGAACCGUACCGUUGAGAAAAUCCUGGUAUUAGUAAUAUCAAAUAUGGGUGAGAAUCCCAUACACCUAAAGCACACGGUUUCCUUCGCAUACGCUUUUCAGCGGAGGGUUAGGCGGUCCUAAGCUGCAUGCUAAUAACACUGCAGCAAAAGGGUAGCUGGUUAAUAUUCCAGCCCCUACCAUGUAAGCGUGGCAACACAAGGCAGAUUUCAGACGUCUGGGGAUAGGCCAGAAAGAACGUGCAAACGGCUGCGGAGUCUCGUUAUGAGGAGAAGCAGCUAAAUGAACUUUGGCUGAGUUCCUGGGCCAGUGAAAAUGGAAUCUGCAAUUGAUCAUGGUAGUCCGUACCUAGAACCAGUACAGGUGGUGCUGGCCUAAAAAGCCGAGGUGUGCCGGAAUAAUUGAGGUUAGGGAAAUCGGCAAAAUAGUGACGUAAGUUAUCGAGAAGUCAUGUCUGCGUAUGGGAUAUGCAGAUAUCAUUGACAAGGGGGCAACGACUGUUUAUCAAAAACACAACUCACUGCAAAGCGGAAACGCCUAGAAUAGUGGGUGACGCCUGCUCACCGCCAGUACGUGAACACCCGUUUCAAAGGGGAUAAGCGCUGGCAAAGAGCGGGAGUAACUCUGACUCUCUUGAGGUAGCGUAAUACCUCGUCACUUAAUAGGUGACUUGCAUGAAGGGCGUAACGAUUGCCCCACUGUCCCAACCUUGAAUCCGGUGAACUUACUGCGCGGUGAAUAUGCCGCGAUCUCUCAGUGGGAAAUGAAGUCUCCAUGAAGCUUUACUACAUCCUGUAGUUGUUGUGAUACAGGCCACGCAUAGCGUAAGUGGGAGCGUCGAUGCCAGCGCUGCGGCGCUGGCGGAGCGACAAUGUAACACCACUCUUGGCCUGCCUCGCAGCUAACUAGCGAUAGGACAGCUGCAGGUGGGUAGUUAGACUGGACGGUUGCUUUCGAUAAGGAAACGAAAGUGACCAAUGCUCUGCUUAGCUUGUUUGGGAAACAAGCGGUAAGCUAAAAGGUAAAUGCAGGGCUGACUGUAUGCCGAAAAGCGUGGCAUGCAGACUCGAAAGAGGGGCUUAACGAACGUUGGUAGCUCUUUUAAUGGGGCUCCAAGCUGUCAAACAAGUUACUCUGGAGGUAACCGAUUCGUCGCCGGUGAGAGUUCACAUCGACCUGGCGGUUUGAUACAUCGAUAUGGGCUUAGGUUAUCCUGGUGGUGCAUAAGCCACCAAGGGUUGGGCUGCUCGCCCAUUAAAAACCUACAUGAGCUGAGUUCAGUACGCCGUGAGGCAGUACGGUAAUAUCUACUGGGAGUGUCAGUGCCAGAGGAUAAGGUCCAAUUAGUACGAGAGGAACAUUGGAUCGGCGCCUCUAGUGUACCGGUUGUGAAUGCAUUGCCGGGUAGCCACGCGCCAAAAGGAUAAGCCCUGAAAGCAUCUAAGGGCGAAGCCAUACCCGAAACGAGGCACUAGGGCGGUCGUAAUAGACGACUUUGAUAGGACGGGUGCACAUGCAGAGAGCUUCGGCGAUCUGCGAACAUACCGUUACUAAAGCCUGACUUUGUAAGC
RNAcentral lists this ribosomal RNA (2845 nucleotides) under hot springs metagenome. Its description in RNAcentral is "bacterial LSU rRNA". It matches the Rfam family "Archaeal large subunit ribosomal RNA". The record is from RNAcentral.